AAGUCAUCUAUUACGUAACUACUAGGGCAAAUUUGGGAUAUUUCCCUUCUCGAAAUCCCGAGUUUCUGGUCGCGUCGGGGAGAGAGAGACGCGACGAUGUCGAAUGUGUACGUGCUCGAGCCGCCGACGAAGGGGAAGGUAGUGGUGCAGACUACAGUUGGGCCGAUCGACAUCGAGCUGUGGCCGAAGGAGGUGCCCAAGGCCGUCCGCAACUUCGUCCAGCUCUGCCUUGAGGGCUACUUUGACGAUACCAUCUUCCACCGCAUCAUCAAGGGUUUCCUCGUCCAGGGCGGUGAUCCUACUGGCAGCGGAACCGGUGGGGAAAGUAUUUACGGUGGAGUGUUUGCUGAUGAGCUCCAUUCUAGACUUCGAUUUAAUCACAGAGGCUUGGUUGCAUGUGCAGAUGCUGGCUCUCCUCAUUCGAAUGGAAGCCAAUUCUUUAUGACAUUAGAUCGUUGCGACUGGCUAGAUCGGAAACACACAAUUUUUGGAAAGGUUACAGGAGAUUCCAUAUUUAACCUUCUAAGGUUGGGUGAAUUUGAAACUGACGAAGAUGAUCGACCGGUUUACCCCCCUCCAAAGAUUCUUUCUGUUGAGGUGCUAUGGAAUCCAUUUGAUGACAUUGUUCCAAGGCAACUAAAGGAGAAACCUCAAACUCAUGCCAAGGUUGCAGCUGAAGACCAGGAGCAAAAAAAGAAAGCAGUCAAGAAGCUUAACAUGCUCUCUUUUGGUGACGAAGUUGAAGAAGAUGAAUUGGAAGCUGCAAACAUAAACGAUAAGAUCAAGAGUAUCCAUGAUGUGUUAGAUGAUCCUCGUUUCCUCAAAGAAGAAGCAAAACCUGAACCAUUGUCUAAAGCUGAAAUGGACAAGAAAAAUGAAGCUCGUUUAGCUGUCAGAGAUGCUCUAGUUUCCAACAAAGGUAACAACAUUAGAGAACCUCGGAUGGAUGAUUUCAGUGCUGAUGAUCAUAGUGAUAAUGACGACGAAUCCAACUUUGAUGCAAGAAUGCGAAUGCAAAUCUUGAGAAAACGCAAGGAGAUGGAUGAUGUUAUCAAUCAUGACAAGAUACCUGCUGAUAAACCUAAGCGGAAACACCGGGAGGCAUCACCUUCCAGGUCAGUUGCUGAAGUUAAAAAUUCCAAGGUUGAGAAAUUGUCAAUGAAGAAAAAGGGCAUUGGAUCAGAAGCCAGAGCUGAUCUUAUGGACAAGGCAGAUGCAGACAUGGAGUUACUGAAUCAUGCUGAACAAGAGAGGCAAUUGCUGAAGCAGAAGAGGCGUCGAAAUCAGGGCCGUGAAGGAGAUACUCUAGCCAAGCUGGAUAGAUUCAAAAAGUCUAUAUCUACAUCUAUCAAGGUUUCUGUGCCGAGUAGCAAUGGUAAGGAGGCUACCGAGGAUGAUGAUUCUGGAUGGAUGGCAACACAGCUAAAGUUCCUUUCUGAGUCCUCUGAUAAGGAUAGCAUGACUAGAAAAGAUGAUCCAAAUGAAUAUGUUGUGCAUGAUCCUCUUCUGGAGAAGGGCAAAGAGAAAUUUAAUAGAAUGCAGGCGAAGCUCAAGCGACGGGAGCGGGAGUGGGCUGGCAAAUCUCUCACCUAAUUAUUUACAUGAUCAGGUCUAACAUUAUGGCACCUGACUUUUCAGAUUUCAAUCAUCCUUCAUGUUGAGUAGCUAUGAAGACGAUUUGCAGCGUCAAGCCUUAUUGAAGCUCUGAUGUUUCACCCAAAUUGCACACUAGGCUAUUGCUGUUCAACAAAUGCAGGAGUUGUAGAUAUACUGUGGUUGUCUCCCAGAUAUCACCAACUUGCCAAACUGGCUGUUGAUUGUUGCCCAGUACCAUGACCAUCUAUUCCUUUUGCCAACUUCAUUCCAAGCAUAAAUCUUUAUUAUGUUUUCUAGAUACUGUAAAUAACUUUUAUUAAAUCCAGGAGAGAUUUGUUGGUGUGCUUAACUAUGUGCCAAUCUACUGCUCGAUUUUUGGUGACAGUGGACAUUCAUAGAUAAGUUUACGUCCUUGACUGGUUACAAUGGAAUGAAUCUGUGUGCAACUUCGUUUCCUAUAGUGAUUUUGUAAAACAGUAUGAUCUUAAGAUUUUUAAGAUCUAGGAACAUAAAACAGCAUAAUUUUAAUCUUUGUUUUCUGUAUAA
This is an RNA transcript of Zingiber officinale, 2142 nucleotides long. It is a transcript of the gene named peptidyl-prolyl cis-trans isomerase CYP57-like, with no coding region annotated. Lineage: Eukaryota; Viridiplantae; Streptophyta; Magnoliopsida; Zingiberales; Zingiberaceae. The record is from RefSeq and is a predicted model, not a curated record. The transcript has 11 exons.